UGAGUACGAGAUGCUACGGCAUCGAAGCAGUCUAUGUCAUACUUCCAAGAAAAGCUUGCACUGUCAUAAACAAAGAAUGCCUGUACCAUAACCGACACAGGUGGGUAGGUAGAGUAUACUAAGGGGCGCGAGAUAACUCUCUCUAAGGAACUCGGCAAAAUGACUCCGUAACUUCGGGAGAAGGAGUGCCUUAUUUCUAAGGUUGCAAUAACAAGAUCCAAGCAACUGUUUACCAAAAACACAGGUCUCCGCUAAGUCGUAAGACGAUGUAUGGGGGCUGACGCCUGCCCAGUGCCAGAAGGUUAAAGAAGUUGGUUAGCAUUAGCGAAGCUGAUAACUGAAGCCCUGGUGAACGGCGGCCGUAACAAUAACGGUCCUAAGGUAGCGAAAUUCCUUGUCGGGUAAGUUCCGACCCGCACGAAAGGCGUAAUGAUUUGGAUACUGUCUCGGAGAGGGGCUCGGUGAAAUAGACUUGUCUGUGAAGAUGCGGACUACCUGCACCUGGACAGAAAGACCCUAUGAAGCUUUACUGUAACUUGAGAUUGAAAUUGGACUUUAUUUGCGCAGUAUAGGUGGGAGGCGUUGAGAAUAAUCUUGCGGGAUUGUUGGAGCCAUCAGUGAGAUACCACUCUUGUAAUGUUAGAUUUCUAACUUUGUAUCAUUAUCUGGUCAAAGAACAGUUUCAGGCGGGCAGUUUGACUGGGGCGGUCGCCUCCCAAAGGGUAACGGAGGCGCACAAAGGUUUCCUCUGAACGGGUAGAAAUCGUAUCUAGAGUGUAAAGGCAUAAGGAAGCUUGACUGUGAGACCUACAAGUCGAGCAGGGACGAAAGUCGGUCUUAGUGAUCUGACGGUGCUGAGUGGAAAUGCCGUCACUCAACGGAUAAAAGUUACUCUAAGGAUAACAGGCUGAUCUCCCCCAAGAGUUCACAUCGACGGGGAGGUUUGGCACCUCGAUGUCGGCUCAUCGCAUCCUGGGGCGGUAGUCCGUCCCAAGGGUUGGGCUGUUCGCCCAUGAAAGCGGUACGCGAGCUGGGUUCAGAACGUCGUGAGACAGUUCGGUCCAUAUCCGGUGUAGGCGUUAGAAUAUUGAGAGGAGCCUUCUCUAGUACGAGAGGACCGAGAAGGACAUACCUCUGGUGUACCAGUUAUCGUGCCAACGGUAAACGCUGGGUAGCUAUGUAUGGAGUGGAUAACCGCUGAAAGCAUCUAAGUGGGAAGCCCACCUCAAGAUAAG
Molecule: ribosomal RNA, 1235 nt
Filed under: metagenome
Description: bacterial LSU rRNA
Rfam family: Bacterial large subunit ribosomal RNA
Source: RNAcentral